This 468-nucleotide ribosomal RNA is filed under the name uncultured bacterium. RNAcentral's name for it is "partial 16S ribosomal RNA". It matches the Rfam family "Bacterial small subunit ribosomal RNA", at positions 28 to 507 of the family's 1533-position model. The record is from RNAcentral.
GACGAACGCUGGCGGCGUGCUUAACACAUGCAAGUCGAACGGAAAGGCCCUGCUUUUGUGGGGUGCUCGAGUGGCGAACGGGUGAGAAACACGUGAGUAACCUGCCCUUGACUUUGGGAUAACUUCAGGAAACUGGGGCUAAUACCGGAUAGGAGCUCCUGCUGCAUGGUGGGGGUUGGAAAGUUUCGGCGGUUGGGGAUGGACUCGCGGCUUAUCAGCUUGUUGGUGGGGUAGUGGCUUACCAAGGCUUUGACGGGUAGCCGGCCUGAGAGGGUGACCGGCCACAUUGGGACUGAGAUACGGCCCAGACUCCUACGGGAGGCAGCAGUGGGGAAUAUUGCACAAUGGGCGGAAGCCUGAUGCAGCAACGCCGCGUGCGGGAUGACGGCCUUCGGGUUGUAAACCGCUUUCGCCUGUGACGAAGCGUGAGUGACGGUAAUGGGCAAAGAAGCACCGGCUAACUACGUG